GAUUUUGAGUACGUCAUUAUCUGAGGAUGUGCUAUUCAAAUUAUAAGCAUAACUUCGCAGCAGCUUUAUCAGAAUUGAAGAUUGGAUUUCAAUAAAAAUACAAAUAUCCAGUUUACCUUUUUAAUAUAACAAAAUUUUCGUUUGAAAGAGAAAUAUACAACUACUGGUUAUAAUAGUUUCAUACAAAAUGCAAAAGACCAUAUACAUCAGACAUCAAGAUUAUAACAUAAUUUUAAAUAUUACAAAAUCAGAAAGAACAAUUUAAUACUAAACAAAGAACAUUUACAACAAAAGUCGCUCUCUAUUUGCUGACUAAGAUAGAGAUUUGCUAGGAAUUUGUAGUUAGUUGAAACUUCUUCUUCAUAUCAAAUUCCAGCCAACAAACACAAUCCAAGAAAUAAUUAGUAUCCAUAUUAGCCGCUUAAUCUUUUUCUUUAGAGUGUUCAGCUCGUCCUCCAUUGCCGAUCUCUUCCGCAAAAAACCAAUAAUAACUUGGCGAGAGCGAUAAGUCACAGGGGGAUCAUACCAAGAAAAAUAUCCAUACUCACUAGGUCACUGUAGUGAUCUCUGUAAACAAAAAAACGGGAGGUUAGGAUCCAAAUGAAAAAUCGUGAAAAAGGUUGGGGGCCCAUUUGAAAAAGAAGGAAAAGAUUAGGGACCUAAGUGAAAAAUCGAGAAAAGGUUAAGGAUCGGUGUUGUAACAGAGAGGAAAACACAAAUAAGAAAUUUUCACAAACUUAAAACCUCAAAAAUAAGGGAAGAAAAUGAACAUCGAAAGAGAUUACCUCAUAGUGUCUGCAGCAAAAAAAUAUCCUACUAGAAUUAGCUUCAGUCCAUGAUGUCUUUAAAGUAGCUGCGACGCCACAGUAACAGAUAGGAACAUUAUGGCUUUCGGUGGACAUUUCAGACAUUUCUCAAGGUAGUGUGAUGCUCAAGAGAAGAAAAAAUGAAUUAUUACAGUGAAAACCCUUUUCUCUUAGCUAGGUUUUUUUCUAUAUAUAAAGUUAAAAAGGAAGAAAGGGUUUCGGACAUUUUAUAUUUAUAUAUUUAUCCUAUUUAUAUUCCCUACAAAUAAUUGGUCAAAGAUCAUUAUGACCUAAGGCGGGAAAUUUUCCCUCCAAAUAGACACCAACGUGGCGCCUACGUAUCAGUUUCCGUCGAGUGUGACGGAAAUAUAGACGGUAGGACCUAAUUGAAAUAAUUUAUUGCAAUUGGGGACUCAAUUGACGAAAAAAAAAGUUAGGGACCUAGUUGAAAAUUUGGAAAAAGGUUGGGGACUAUGGUGUAAUUUACCCUUUUUAAAAUAAAACUUCAGAAAUAUCUCAUUUGCCCUUAUUUUUUUUUUUUUUCAAUAUGCUCCUCAUAUGUUCCUCCGUUAUUCCAAAAUACCCCUACAGUUAUCACCCGUUAAGUUAACUUGGGUUAAACGUGAGUUAAAUAUCUACCACAGUUUAAAAAAAUUAAAAUGUCAAUUUUACCCUUAACUUAAGGACAAAUAAGAAAUAUUGGUGACGAUAGACGGGUAUAUUUGAAAAGAUCAAAAGUCAAAAUACUUUUCGUACCCCUGAUUUAAGGGCAAAUAAGAAAAAUCGGUGAUUAUGGAAGAGUAUAUUUGAAAGGGCAAAAUAGUAAUUUUAUACAGAUAAUAGAGUUCAUUAACAGAUUUUAAUUCUAGGGGUAUAUUUGAAAUAGGUUGGAACGUAAAAAGGGUAUUUUUCAAUAUUAGCCUUCUAAGAGGGGUAAAUCAGAACGUCGGAAACUUUUCAGGAGUAUAUAAGCAAUUGCCCCAAUAAUAAAAAUGCAUUUCCUCUUCUAUAAGAAAAUAUACUUUUUAAAUAUAUUUCUUUUAUUUUGAAGAGUAUUUUUGAUAUAAAUUAAAAGAAAUAGAUAGAACAGUGAUAAAAACUUGACGGGAGAAAAAUUAAAUACAACAAUUUAAAAUAUUGAAGGAGUAAAAUAUAGAUUUUUUUUUAAAUUUAGAAAGGAAAAAUAAAUAGCGUUCCGAAAAUAUUAACAGGGUCGCUAGUUCAAAUAAUAGGUCAGUCAUUAAUAU
Molecule: long non-coding RNA, 2053 nt
Filed under: Ananas comosus (pineapple)
Lineage: Eukaryota; Viridiplantae; Streptophyta; Magnoliopsida; Poales; Bromeliaceae
Description: long non-coding RNA (ACOM_LNC006834)
Source: RNAcentral